This is a long non-coding RNA of Lycium barbarum (goji berry), 608 nucleotides long. RefSeq lists it as uncharacterized. The transcript has 3 exons. The record is from RefSeq and is a predicted model, not a curated record. Lineage: Eukaryota; Viridiplantae; Streptophyta; Magnoliopsida; Solanales; Solanaceae.
GCCGAGCUAAGUCUCGGGGACGUUAGAUUUAUAGGGGAAGUGCUGCCGAAAUUUCGGUAGACAAAAAUGAAGUUAAUGGCAUUUUUAAGCCUAAGAAUCUCAAAUUGGUAACUUUGACCAUUUGCAGAUUUCGGACGAAACGGGAUUUGAUUUUAAGGAGAGCAUAAGACGUCUAUAAGCCGUAUGCUGUGUUGCGGUUCCCGAGGCUUCGCCAUAGGGCCGGGUUCCGUUUGGAGUUAUGCUGUGAUAUGGCUGGUGAUGCGAUACGCUCACCUAUGUUUGUGUUUGUGUUCGGGGAUGUACGGAGAUUUGAAACCUUCUGGUGUUAUGCUGUGUGUGGCGCCAGCGUCGGAGUGGCGACCACGUUCUUGAGCGUUUGCAUGAUUUCGUCUGCAUUAUGUAUAGGUACAGUUAUUGGUGAUCCUCCACUGUAGGCUUCACUUUCUGCUGUCUCGGAGCACUCCCUUUGAUCCGGAGUCCACCUUUGGUAUAUAUACCUGCUGCUAUGGAUAUGUCUUUGUACAUUUGACUAUUUGGGUACGGCGGGGCCCUGUCUCGCCAUAUGUCUUUGUUUUGAGUUCGUAGAGGCCUGUAGUCAUAUAUGUGGG